GUGAAUCAUCAAAUCUUUGAACGCAAAUUGCAAUCUCCUCGGAGAGUAUGCCUGUUUGAGGGUCAGCUUAUAAAAAAUAGAGAUCGUUGAUGUCUCGCGGUGGCGUUUGUGGGAAAUUGGGUCAUCUUAUAUCUUUUGGUUGUAAGUGACUUAAAAUUUUCCUUUUGGUACCAGGAAGGUCACUAAGAUGUAUUUGUUUACACGAUCAAGGUAUUGAUCUUUAUUAGACGUGACAAUCAUAUCGGAUAGCGCCCAUAAGCUUGCAUUAACUGAC
RNAcentral lists this unclassified non-coding RNA (274 nucleotides) under Glomeromycota sp. Its description in RNAcentral is "partial contains 5.8S ribosomal RNA and internal transcribed spacer 2". The stretch from base 1 to 65 matches the Rfam family "5.8S ribosomal RNA", at positions 84 to 154 of the family's 154-position model. Lineage: Eukaryota; Fungi; Glomeromycota. The record is from RNAcentral.